AGGACGAACGCUGGCGGCGUGCUUAACACAUGCAAGUCGAGCGGUAAGGCCUCCUUCGGGGGGUACACGAGCGGCGAACGGGUGAGUAACACGUGGGUGACCUGCCCUCAGCUCUGGGAUAAGCCUGGGAAACCGGGUCUAAUACCGGAUGGGACUGCUUGCCGCAUGGUGGGUGGUGGAAAGUUUUUUCGGCUGGGGAUGGGCCCGCGGCCUAUCAGCUUGUUGGUGAGGUAAUGGCUCACCAAGGCGACGACGGGUA
Molecule: ribosomal RNA, 259 nt
Filed under: uncultured bacterium
Lineage: Bacteria
Description: partial small subunit ribosomal RNA
Rfam family: Bacterial small subunit ribosomal RNA
Source: RNAcentral